UUGAUCCUGCCGGACCCGACUGCUAUCAGAAUAGGACUAAGCCAUGCGAGUCAACGUAGCAAUACGUGGCAUACGGCUCAGUAACACGUAGUCAACAUGCCCAGGGGACGUGGAUAACCUCGGGAAACUGAGGAUAAACCGCGAUAGGUCAUAAUAUCUGGAAUGAUUUCUGGCUGAAAUCUAUAUGGCCCCUGGAUUGGACUGCGGCCGAUCAGGCUGUUGGUGAGGUAAUGGCCCACCAAACCUAAAACCGGUACGGGCUCUGAGAGGAGAAGCCCGGAGAUGGGCACUGAGACAAGGGCCCAGGCCCUAUGGGGCGCAGCAGGCGCGAAAACUCUGCAAUAAGCGAAAGCUUGACAGGGUUAUUCUGAGUGAUUUCCGCUAAGGAAAUCUUUUGGCACCUCUAAAAAUGGUGCAGAAUAAGGGGUGGGCAAGCCUGGUGUCAGUCGCCGCGGUAAUACCAGCACCCCGAGUGGUCGGGACGAUUAUUGGGCCUAAAGCAUCCGUAGCCGGUUCUACAAGUCUUCCGUUAAAUCCACCUGCUUAACAGAUGGGCUGCGGAGGAUACUAUGGAGCUAGGAGGCGGGAGAGGCAAGCGGUACUUAGUGGGUAGGGGUAAAAUCCGUUGAUCCAUUGAAGACCACCAGUGGCGAAGGCGGCUUGCCAGAACGCACUCGACGGUGAGGGAUGAAAGCUGGGGGAGCAAACCGGAUUAGAUACC
This 721-nucleotide ribosomal RNA is filed under the name uncultured Nitrososphaerota archaeon. Its description in RNAcentral is "bacterial SSU rRNA". It matches the Rfam family "Archaeal small subunit ribosomal RNA", at positions 8 to 737 of the family's 1478-position model. Lineage: Archaea; Thermoproteati; Nitrososphaerota. The record is from RNAcentral.